RNAcentral lists this long non-coding RNA (1005 nucleotides) under Callithrix jacchus (white-tufted-ear marmoset). RNAcentral's name for it is "lncRNA (ENSCJAG00000078085.1)". Lineage: Eukaryota; Metazoa; Chordata; Mammalia; Primates; Cebidae. The record is from RNAcentral.
AUGCUUGGAUCACUUCCAGUAGCCAUGAUGGAGGGAAGAGGCUGUGGAGGACACCUUCAAUAUUCUGAUUCAGAAGUGUGCCUCAGGUGGAGCCCAGGUAUCUAUAAUAUGGACAUUUCAAGACCCAGAAAAGAUGAAAUAAUUUAUUACCAGCAGACUGAAAUAAGAAAUGAUAAGUGAAAUGUUCAGAAAAAAUGAGAAUAGAUGAAAAUAUGAAUGCUUGCAAAGGUCUAUGAGCAAUCAUAAAUGGCAAUUAUGUGAGUAUAUGUAUAAGACUUUUUUCUUACUAUAUAAAUCUCUUUGUGAUAUAUUAUUUAAGUAAAAUAAUAUUAUACUGGAUAUGUUAGUAGAAGUAAAUUGUAUGUCAGCAAGGUCAAGAGAAAAGACAUGGAAAAACAUUAUUGUACCCCCAUAAUUCAAUCACCACCACCCCCACCUGGUUCUUCCCAUGACACAUGGAAAUUGUGGGAGUUAAAUUCAAGAGGAGAUUUGGGUGAGGACACAGCCAAACCAUAUCAUUCUUACCCUGGCACCUCACAAAUCUCAUGACCUCACAUUUAAAAACCAAUCAUGUCUAACCAACAGUUCCCCAAAGUCUUAACUCACUUCAGCAUUUGCUCAGAAGUCUGCCAUCCAACAUCUUAUCUGAGACAAGGCAAGUCCUUUCCACCCACAAGCCUGUAAAAUCAAAAGUAAGCUAGUUACUUCUUAGAUACAAUAGGGGUAUAGGCAUUGUGUAAAUACAGCCAUUCCAAAUGGGACGAAUUGGCCAAAACAAAGAGACUACAGGCCCCAUGCAAGUCUCAAAUCCAGUAGAGCAGCCAAAUCUGAAAGCUCCAAAAUGACCUCCUUUGACUCCAUGUCUUACAUCUAGGUAAUGGUGAUGCAAGCAGUGGGCUCCCACAGCCUUGGGUGGCUCCACCCUGUGACUUUGGAGGGUACAGCCCCCCUCCUGCCUGCAUUCAUGGACUGGCAUUGAAUGUCUGCAGGAUUUCCAGGCACACA